UCGUUUUCCACCGGAAGGAGGGAGAAAUUGCGACCGAGAGCCGGACACCUGAUGCUGGCGGCUUUUGUCUCUCAAAGUUGGGACAGUAUUUGGCCACCUUGUGCGGCGGGUGACUGUGGUGUCUCGGUAUGUAGCUGACGUGGCCAGCGUCCCAGGAAUGGGAGAAGAGAUGGGAACCUGCAGGCUGAUGGCUGUUCUGCAUCCACUUCCCUUCUCUGUUUAAAAUGCCCAUGAGUUUUGAGUUGAUGGGUGAGUACUCAAAAACACAUGCCGUUACUGACUGGAGUCGUUAUACAAGUAGGUAUAUGCAUUUUCUGAAAGCAGAGAGCAGUUGUUUCCAUGCUUGGAUCCUUCAGAGAUCAUGCAGCCACCACCAUGCCUUAGAUGUGUGUAAUUCAAAUAGAGAAGACACAAGCCAGUGGUCUCAAUAUCAACCCUUGAGUGUCCUGUAAAUGAUUUAUCAGAAGUUGCAGCCGAACAUGGCCAUGAGGUAAUCCCUGCCCCUGGUUGAAAGUUAGUUUCAUCAGCUUCUCCAUGGGAUUGUAAGGACUUGGAGUGUGUCACAAAACCCAGCAGGGUUCCCCCCCCCUUUUUUUUUUUUAAGAUUUAUUUUGUCUUUCUGAAGAUAACAUGCUUAAACAGAGUUCUUUAUGGUUAGUAACUAUGAUGCUUGAAGUUGGUUAUCCCUUAUUCCAGUAAACUUUAAAUGUCAAAGCUAUAGGUAUCUUGUUAAAUAAAAAAAUGUAUCAAAA
Grammomys surdaster is the source of this 752-nucleotide long non-coding RNA. RefSeq lists it as uncharacterized. The record is from RefSeq and is a predicted model, not a curated record. NCBI's taxonomy places the organism in Eukaryota, Metazoa, Chordata, Mammalia, Rodentia, Muridae. The transcript has 4 exons.